ACGCUGGCGGCGUGCCUAACACAUGCAAGUCGAACGCGAAAGGGGCUUCGGCCCUGAGUAGAGUGGCAAACGGGUGAGUAACGCGUGGGUGACCUACCUUCGAGUGGGGGAUAACGUUCCGAAAGGAGCGCUAAUACCGCAUGAAGUUCCGGAUUUGAACAUCUGGAAACCAAAGCCGGGGAUCGCAAGACCUGGCGCUUGGAGAGGGGCCCGCGUCUGAUUAGCUAGUUGGCGGGGUAACGGCCCACCAAGGCGACGAUCAGUAGCCGGCCUGAGAGGGCGGACGGCCACACUGGGACUGAGACACGGCCCAGACUCCUACGGGAGGCAGCAGUGGGGAAUUGUUCGCAAUGGGCGCAAGCCUGACGACGCAACGCCGCGUGGGGGAUGAAGGUCUUCGGAUUGUAAACCCCUGUCGAGCGGGACGAAUGGCUCGCGGUCUAACACACCGCGGGAAUGACGGUACCGCUAAAGGAAGCCACGGCUAACUCUGUGCCAGCAGCCGCGGUAAUACAGAGGUGGCAAGCGUUGUUCGGAAUUACUGGGCGUAAAGGGCGCGUAGGCGGCCUUCUAAGUCAGACGUGAAAUCCCCCGGCUUAACCUGGGAACUGCGUCUGAUACUGGAAGGCUUGAGUGCGGGAGA
Molecule: ribosomal RNA, 643 nt
Filed under: uncultured soil bacterium
Lineage: Bacteria
Description: bacterial SSU rRNA
Rfam family: Bacterial small subunit ribosomal RNA
Source: RNAcentral